Molecule: ribosomal RNA, 253 nt
Filed under: uncultured bacterium
Lineage: Bacteria
Description: partial 16S ribosomal RNA
Rfam family: Bacterial small subunit ribosomal RNA
Source: RNAcentral
UACGUAGGGACCAAGCGUUGUUCGGAUUUACUGGGCGUAAAGGGCGCGUAGGCGGCGUGUUAAGUCAGCUGUGAAAUCUCCGAGCUUAACUCGGAACGGUCAGCUGAUACUGAUGUGCUAGAGUGCAGAAGGGGCAAUCGGAAUUCUUGGUGUAGCGGUGAAAUGCGUAGAUAUCUGGAGGAACACCGGUGGCGAAGGCGGCAUCCUGGACCAACACUGACACUGAGGAGCGAAAGCCAGGGGAGCAAACGGG